Penicillium brasilianum is the source of this 72-nucleotide transfer RNA. It matches the Rfam family "tRNA". Rfam says of the family: Transfer RNA (tRNA) molecules are approximately 80 nucleotides in length. Their secondary structure includes four short double-helical elements and three loops (D, anti-codon, and T loops). NCBI's taxonomy places the organism in Eukaryota, Fungi, Ascomycota, Eurotiomycetes, Eurotiales, Aspergillaceae. The record is from Rfam.
GGGGGUUUGGCGCAGCGGUAGCGCGUGUGAUUCCAGUCCACAAGGUCGUCAGUUCAAAUCUGGCAACCCUCA